Molecule: RNA transcript, 986 nt
Organism: Zootermopsis nevadensis
Lineage: Eukaryota; Metazoa; Arthropoda; Insecta; Blattodea; Termopsidae
Gene name: ras-related protein Rab-29
Source: RefSeq, a predicted model, not a curated record
CUUAUCUGCAGUGUGUCUCAUUUGGUGAGUGGAGUCUGUGCUGGUUAUCUUGCUAUGGAUUUCUUCUAUUCAGAAAUAUCUCCUGUAGCAGAGAAGCUGUUUAAAGUGAUUGUUGUAGGAGAUCCGACUGUUGGGAAAACUUCAUUCGUCCAACGAUACGUUCAGAAUUCGUAUAAGAAGGAUUAUAAAGGCACUGUGGGAGUCGAUUUUGCACUCAAGGUUGUAAAAUGGUCAGAGACUCAAACUGUAAAGUUGCAGCUUUGGGACGUUGCUGGUCAAGAGAGAUUCACAUGGAUGACGAGAGUGUACUACAAGGAUUCCCGUGGGUGUGUUAUUAUGUUUGACUUAACAAACAGAAACUCUUUUGUGAACACUGUGAAAUGGAAAAGAGACGUCGAUUCGAAAUGUCGGCUCCCAGAUGGUAGUCCCAUUCCGUGUUUGCUUCUAGCAAAUAAGUGUGAUUUGCGACAGCGACAAGUUGACCAAUUGGAAAUAGAAGAAUUUUAUAAGGAAUUCAAUUUUAUUGGUUGGACUGAAACAUCAGCGAAAGAAGGGCUUAUGGUGAAUGACGCGAUGAAGUUUCUCGUGGAUGUUAUGAUGCGGCAGGAUGGUACAGACGGAGCCGCGUUCAUAACGGACAGCUUGAAACUUACUGGACCCGGACUUUAUGCUCAGUCGUGUAACAACUGUUCGUGUUAGUCGCACUAAGUGUAUCCAAGUUUUGUGAACGUUCACAGUGUAUAUGAGACUGGCAGCUCAAUAUGUAUUUAUCAUUAACAAGAGGCACGACCAUUUGCACCACUGAGGCGGACACAAAUCGUAGCGACCGGCGAUCGUCAGUGGCAAGAGAUCACUGAUUAAGAAAGAAAGACAUAAACUUGGAUGACUACGAAGUAAAGAAAGUUCUUCCUUUGUGCGCUGUUUAGAAGUCGUUAUCCAGGACUCACGUUAACUCUGAACAAACUAAUAAAUGAGGAUUUAACCAG